This 7071-nucleotide long non-coding RNA is filed under the name Citrus maxima (pomelo). RNAcentral's name for it is "long non-coding RNA (CMAX_LNC002502)". Lineage: Eukaryota; Viridiplantae; Streptophyta; Magnoliopsida; Sapindales; Rutaceae. The record is from RNAcentral.
AGGUUCAAUGAUGUUUUCAACAAUGGAAUGUUAAGUCACACUUCUAUUGUCAUGGAGAAGGUCCUAGAAUCAUACAAAGGCUUUGAGCAUGUUAAAAAGCUUGUGGAUGUUGGCGGUGGCUUGGGGAUCACUCUUAAUAUGAUAAUUUCGAAAUACCCUCAUAUUAAGGGUAUUAAUUAUGACUUACCUUAUGUUAUUAAAGAUGCCCCAUCUUAUUCAGGUACUUUAUUUAUAAAAUCUGUAUAACAUAUUUGUUAAUGAUUCAUCGAUGCUACACUAGCUAACAAAAGUUAGUUUAUUUAAAUUUCAGGGAUAGAACAUAUCGGUGGAGAUUUGUUCGAAAGUAUUCCUGAGGCAGAUACUAUUUUUAUGAAGGUUUAUAUUUUCUUAUAUCACUUGAAAUCAUCAUAAGGAAAAAUUAAAUAGAGAGAAUGACAUUUUUCUCCCUAUUGUUUUUGAGUUAACACGUACCCUAACCAUGUUACUCACUUGGUAUUAGAACUUUGAUAGAAAAAUUCAAAGGGAUAAUAAGAUAUUAUGAAAACUAUUAAAAGAAAAAAAAAGGUAAAACUCAAAACUAUAUAUACAAGGAAAGUGUCAACAACUCUCUUUUUUUCUUCAAUGGUAAAAUGGGUGGGCAUAGCCCAAAUUAACUAAUUAUUGAUCCCAUAUCUCCCUUGAGUUCAAACUUGGGUGACAAUUAAAUAAAAUUGAUUGAAAACAAUUCGAUCAGGCACCUCGGGUGGAAAGUAUCAAUCUCUCUUCUUUAUGAAUGCUUUGUUCAAUCACAUAAAUUGAUCAUAGAUAUCCGGAAAAGAACAAAUGAGAAUUAAUAUGAAUACAUGGAACUUUUGCAGUGGAUGCUUCAUAGUUUUGAUGAUGAACAAGCCUUGAAAGUGUUGAAGAAUUGUUAUAAAGCUCUUCCAGAUGGUGGGAAGCUGCUUAAUAUUAAUUCGACAAUUUCGGAAAUGCCUGGGAAUAAUGUAGCUUCAAGGGAAAUCUCUAUUUUGGAUACGGUUUUGUUAGUCCAACUUCCUCAUGGAAGAGAGCGGACCAAACACGAGUACACUGAAUUGGCAGUCAAAGCUGGAUUUAAAGGUGUCAACUAUGAUUAUGGUGCGUGCAAUUUAUAUGUUAUGGAAUUCUUCAAAUAAAUUGCAUACUUAAUUUCAUUUUGGAAAGAUCUUCUCAACCCUUGGGGAGUUUCCAAUUUCCUAUUUGUGUUAAUUAUUUUCUCUUUUGCUUGGCCUUGGGGCUUGUCUUAUGUACUUUCUUUCAUCUUAUGAAAAUAAUACGUCUCUUAGAAAGAGAUUGAUGGCUGUAUGUGGUACUCCUUAUGUAAUCUUUUUCAGUUCAUACGUUCAGCAUGUGAUUUUUGGUUUAUUAUUGAGGCAAAAAAGAAGUAUUUUUAUCUUACCUUACUAUUAUUAUUAUUAUUUUUUGUUCAUUUCAAAGUUGAAAAAAUCAGUAAUGUAUAACUUUUUUAUCAUUUAAAGUAAGAACAUUUGACUUUUGAAAGAGUAGUUAUAGAGAACUCAUUAUAUGCCAUCUCAACCUCACACAAGAGUAAUUAAAACUAGAGCUAAUGUUAAAGUAGUUCUAAAUUUUGAAUUCAUUACAAACUUAUCCUAAAAAUUUGCCUUAGUGGAGUUUAUGUGUGGUACUGGUGUUUAUUUCAUUUUUAUUUCUAAAAAUAUAGUAAAUUAAGUGCACCACUAAGUGAACCAGAUGAAGACUGAAAAUUAUUAAAAAUGGAUUGUGGAGAUUUGGUUUUUCAUCAAACAACUACUAAGAGCUAAUAUUGCUCGAUGGAAAAAGAAAAAAGAAAACAAAUCUGAAUAUUAUGAUUAUCUUUGAAAGGUGCAUAGUGAAUAGAGAAAAAAAAAAAGAAAAAAUUUUGAGUUCCUUUAUUGGACGAGUAUUUUGAUUAGGAGAAAUUUUAUAAUGUUGUAAUUAAAAUGAUGGUAUUAAUGCCGUGAUAAAUAUGAAUUUUGUAAAUUACGCAUAAGACUAGUAAAUGAAAAGUAAAAUAAGUAAAUUAAUAUAAGAAUGGUAAAUUGGCGUCUUAAAACUACAAACUAAACAAAUGCUUAUAAAAAUAACAUAAAACUUGUAAAUCAACAUUAAACUUUAAUUAAAAAAAUAAUUUAUUCAUUUAAUUUACAUAAAUGAUGAAAAAAUCACUCAUCAAUUGAAAAAAAAAAACUAUUUAAAACAAUUGUAAUAAGUUUUUAUUGUAUUGGUUUAACUAUAUGUUCUAUAUUCAUUCUUGCACAUUAAAAAAACGAAUCUUUAAAAAAAAAUGAAUCUUUUUCUAUCUAUAGUAUUUGAUACUACACAUGUUAAUUAAGCAAAAAUUAUUUUUUUUUGACGUGAAUCAAGCAAAAAAAAAAAAAGAUUUUCUUAUAUGACUAGAUGUACAUGAUAUAUCAAUAAAAUUGGAUCUAAUUUUUAGUGUUAUAUAUACUUCAUGUAAUUUUAAACUAUGUUUCUUAUUGUACUUAAAGAUCAUUUGGGUUUACGGUCAAGGAGGCUUAAAAGGAUACAACAUCACCUUAUUUUACAAACAGUGAGGUUUGAAAGUCUAACUUUCAGGAUAUGUUUAUCAUUCUUAUAUUACUAGAUGUACAUGACAUAUCAAUAAAAUUGGAUCUAAUUUUUAGUGUUAUAUAUAUUUCAUGUAAUUUUAAACUAUGUUUCUUAUUGUACUUAAAGAUCAUUUGGGUUUACGGUCAAGGAGGCUUAAAAGCAUACAACAUCACCUUAUUUUACAAGCAGUGAGGUUUGAAUGUCUAACUUUCAGGAUAGGUUUAUCAUUAAUAAAAUUUCACAUAUGUCAUCACAUAUAUUAUACAACCUCAUAAUGUGACAAUUAGCUUAUAUAUUUACUAAUUUUGAUUCUAAAUUGAGUUUAGAAUCAAAAUUAUGAGCUAAUAGUCACAUUAUGAGUUUUUAUUUUAUAUUUGUAAGUUUUUAUUUUUACAUUAAGGUACUUGUUUUACCUUCUAUUUACAAGUAUUACAUUCUAUUUACAUCAUUUAUAUUUUAUUUUAUGAUUAAUGUUGAUUUACCACUUCUAUGUUACAUGUAUAAGUUUUUAUUUUGUUUAUCAAUAAUAUAAUGAUUUAUGACUUUUAUGUUAAUUUAUUUGUUUUACCUUCUAUUUACAAGUUUUAUGUCCCAUUUACUUUUAUUUACACUUUAAUGUUAAUUUACAAAUUUUAUAUUAUAUGUAUAAGUUUUUGUUUUAUUUACUAAUGAUACACCAAUUAACUACUCCUAUAUUAAUUUACUUAUUUUACCUUCUAUUUACAAAUCUUGUAUUCUAUUUAACACAAAUGUUGGCAUGAGAUUCCUGACAUAUUUCUAAAAUCAAAAUAAGAUGCAUAGAGGAUGAUCAUUUUAUUUCAUAAUUAAAAUUUUUGUAAAGAAAGUUUGAAUAUGAGAGGGGUGAGAGAUGAGAAUAUUGACGAUAGUGCGUACUUUGGAUGGAAAAAUAGAUUGAAAAUAUAUAUAGACAUAUUAAAAGAAAAAAAUCUGAUCUAUACCUCAAGAGAAAUAAGAAAUUAUAAAUGCAGGUGGUCAAAUGUAUUUAUAAUUUAUAAUUUUUUAUAAAUAUGAUAAUCAUUAGACCCAUAUAAAAGUAUAGCAAAAUGUUUAAAUUUUUUUUAAUAAAUGUAGAAGAGAUGGACGAAGAAAACAGCCACCAGUUCAGAAUUAACAAUCAAAGAUAUGAGGACUUGAUCGAAGAAAUGUGAAAAAUAAAAGGACACUGGGUUGGUUAGCGGGACCCUAAUUUAAUGGUAAAAAAUAAAAGGACACUGGGUUGCUAUCAAUUUCUACGGUGUGGUAGGUUCAUAGCAGGGGAAGUAAUUAUAUUAGCGGGACCCUAACAUUAAUAAAAGGACACUGGGUUGUUUAGCGGGACCCUAAUAUUAAUGGUAAAAAAUAAAAGGAAACUGAGUUGGUAUCAAUUUCUACGGUGUAGGUUCAUAGCCGGGGAAGUAAUUAUAUUAGCGGGACCCUAAUAUUAAUGGAGACCUAAUAUUAAUGAUAAAAAAUAAAAGGACACUGGGUUACAAUCAAUUUCUACAGAGUGGGUUCAUAGCCGGAGAAGUAAUUGGGCACAAAUAUCAUGGUGAACACGGAUGAGAAAUAACCAUUUUAUCCCCGCAACUUUAUGUUUAUGGCCUCUAAAAAUUUUCACCUCUUUCACUUCUGGACCCGCGCUUUCUGGCACAUGCACGAUACUUGGUUGCGACUUAUAGAGAGUUUUAGAAUUGCAACGACAUGGUGCUCUUUGAUAAUUCAAAAAUCCAAUAGAAUUUAUAGAGAAUUACAGAAUUGUGGUACGUGAUAAUUUGCUGAUGCAGUGAGGGGCCGAAAUUCUUGUACAUGUGAUUAAGUUAGAGAUGUAUAAUUAAGUAAUUAGCAAGCACUAAUGGGGGGUAUUUGUGUCCAUGAAAAUUUACGGUUGGUUGUUGACAUUAUACUGUGGGUGCGUAAGUGUAAUCACGAUCUGACCAUUCAAAUUAAAAAAUGGGGGUCCCACUAACUAUAAAGUUAAUAAUUAUCACAUAAACAGGGGGAAUUUUAGGUGCAACUGUGACACCGUGCCACAGUUGCACCUAGUCAUUGGAUGUCAGUAGACUCUAUUACUCCAACUGCAUCCAACGGUUAGAUGCAAUUGUGGCACGGUGCCACAGUUACACCGUAGCCUGAUCCCAUAUACAGAUAUGGUCGCAUAUGAAAAUCUUAUCAUAAAUUGAAAGGAUUCGAUGACUUAAUUGAAGUUAUGAACGGAUAUUUAAAUAAAAGAAAAUUUAUAAUAAAGAACAAGUAUUAAUUUGUUAUGAAUGUAACUUAUAUAAGCUGUAAGUUAGCGGGACUCUUCAAGUAAUUCUAAUAUUUUGAUUUUUAAUUUUUAUAUUUUAAAAAAUAUCUUCUGUAGUUAAAUAUAUUUUAUUUUUAUCCUUACUUUUACUUUACUUUUACAAUAAUAGCCUUCUAAAAAUUUUUUAACAUUAAUUAAGUUAUUUAUAAAAUUUUAAUUAUAAAAUUAACUAAUAAUUAUUUAUUAAUAAAUUAACUAAUAAAUAUCAGUACGAAAGAACUAAUAUUUUUUUAACCCAUGCAAUAAUCUUGCAAAUAAUUUUUUUAUAAAUAAAAAUUAAUAUCAACUAACUUAAAGUGGUUUUUAAUAUCCUUACAAUAAUUAUAUUAAUAUUUAUUUAUAAAAAAUUAAUUUGCCAAAUUAAUCUUAAAACUAAAUUAAUAACAUAAAAAUUUAUAAAACUAAUUAUUUUACUUUUCAUCGGCUGCAAUUUGUUGAAACUUGGGUGAAGACAAAUUGAGAUCUUAGAAAUCUCCAAUGAGAUAAUAAAAUAUAAUACAUAUGUUAGGUCUUUGUUCUUUAGGGAAUAGAUCCUAUUGAAAUUUGAACACGAAUAUCGAUUACUCACAAAUAAAACAAAUUUGCUGAGGCGGCUCGACUAAGACGUACGGGCAGCAUAAUUAAGUCCUCAUAACUCUCAAGUGCAGGCAUCAAAAAAUCAAAACUGAGAAUGACUGGUGAUAUAUAUAUAUAUAUAUAUAUAUAUAUAGACACCUCAAGCAAUUAAGAAAGAAGCAAAUUAUAAUCAUGGCUUCUAUAGCUGAUCAGGAAGAAGAGACAAAUAAUUUCUCACAUGCAAUGGGACUUGCAAGUGCAAUAGUGCUACCUGCAGUUAUGCAAGCAGUGGUAGAGCUUGAUGUGUUUGAGAUCAUAAGCAAAGCCGGUCCUGGUGCUAAGCUUUCGGUUGCGGAGAUUGUGGCUCAAAUUCCCUUAAAAGAUAAUAAUCCUGAAGCUGCAGCCACGACGUUGGAUCGGGUGCUGAGGCUGCUUGUCAGCUACAACGCUCUUCAUUGCUCUUUUGUCGAUGGACAAAGGCUCUACUCUCUUGCUCCUGUUUCUAAACACUUUGUUCGCAACAAUCGAGACGGCGUGUCGUUGCGUCCCUACAUGGCCUUGUGUCUCGACAAGAUCUGCUUGGAUGGCUGGUACAUAGAACUGCUUCUUUUCUUUACCGUUUCAGUAAAUCGAUCAUUUUCAUUCUCAUGAUUUAAAAUCGAUUAAACUCUGUUAAAAAGAUAUUUAAUUUUCAUUUAAUUUACCAUUAAUGUUAUAAAUGACACAAAAAGUUGAAAGUUAAUAAUUUCUUUUUUUUUAAUGACGGAGGAUUCUCAAAUAUGAAAACAAAAAUGAUUGAUUUUAACGAACAACAACGUUUUUUUUUUUUUUUUUUUAUCGUUUCUCGACAAAAAUUAGUUUUUCGAAUUUCAAGGUUAAUUGUGUGGUCUAAUUCUUGAAUCACCAGCACCAAACCAAGCUUCUGAAAUAGUUGCUAACUGUGUUUGGAUUUUGGAAAAUUCAGGUUUGGAUUGAAAAAGCAGAUUCUUGAAGGAGGAAUUGCGUUUAAUAAAGCGCACGGAAUGCAAAUCUAUGAUUACCUAGGCGUCGACUCAAGGUUCAAUGAUGUUUUCAAUAAUGGAAUGUUAAGCCACACUUCUAUUGUCAUGGAGAAGGUCCUAGAAUCAUACAAAGGCUUUGAGCAUGUUAAGAAGCUUGUUGAUGUUGGCGGCGGCUUAGGAACUACCCUGAACAUGAUAAUUUCCAAAUACCCUCAUAUUAAGGGUAUUAAUUAUGAUCUGCCUUAUGUCAUUAAAGAUGCCCCAUCUUAUCCUGGUAUGUUAUUUACAAAAUUUAUAUAGUAUGUUGGGUAAUGAUUUAUUGAUGCUACCCUAACUAAAAGAUGUGAAUUUAUUUAAAUUUCAGGCAUCGAACACGUGGGUGGAGAUUUAUUCGAAAAUGUUCCUGAGGCGGAUACCAUUUUCAUGAAGGUUUUUUCUCUCUAUCUAUAUAUAUAACUUUGAAAUGAUAAUUAUCAAGAGAAUGACAAUUUUCUCCUUACUGCUUUUGAGUUUUACAAUUUACUCAUUUGACGUCAAUUUUUUCAUUGAAAAACUCAAAAGGAUAACAAGAUAUUAUGAAAAUCGAAAAAAAAACAAUAAAACUCAAAAAUAGUAUACCGG